UUAUCUCUGUAGAGUCUGCAUAUCAAUAAGCGGAGGAAAAGAAACUAACAAGGAUUCCCUUAGUAACGGCGAGUGAAGCGGGAAGAGCUCAAAUUUGAAAUCUUCAAGGUUCUACCUUGACGAAUUGUAGUUUAAAGAAGUGUUUUCUGUUAGAUGAGUAGCAAAAGUUCCUUGGAAUGGGACAUCAUAGAGGGUGAGAAUCCCGUAUUUGGUUAUUCAUUCUAGCUUUGUGAUACACUUUCAAAGAGUCGGAUUGUUUGGGAAUGCAGUCCAAAAUGGGUGGUAAAUUUCAUCUAAAGCUAAAUAUUGGCGAGAGACCGAUAGCGAACAAGUACCGUGAGGGAAAGAUGAAAAGAACUUUGAAAAGAGAGUUAAACAGUACGUGAAAUUGUCAAAAGGGAAGCGUUUGACACCAGUGUUGUUUUUCCGAAAAUCAAUUAAAAAUUGAUUCAUGCCAGGUUGUAUUGACCUUAUCAGCUUGCAAUUUGGUUUUGGGUCUCUUUUUGAUGCACUUUUCGGUUAACAAGUCAACAUCAAUUUCCUUUGCUGUAAAAAGGUAAGAGGAAGGUGGCUUCAAUUUCGGUUGAAGUAUUUAUAGCCUUUUAUCUCUGCAGUCGGGGAGAUUGAGGUCUGCAGCGUAGAUCCUUCGGGGCUAGAUACAUUUAUGCUAAGUUAUAGCUUUUCAUAGACAACUUGUUGACUAUGCUUAGUCAUGUAGCUUACUCGUAAGUGCUAUUUUACCUACGCUUAGGAUGUUGAAGACUCUACAGAGAUA
This 775-nucleotide ribosomal RNA is filed under the name uncultured Neocallimastigales. RNAcentral's name for it is "partial large subunit ribosomal RNA". It matches the Rfam family "Eukaryotic large subunit ribosomal RNA", at positions 24 to 642 of the family's 3401-position model. Lineage: Eukaryota; Fungi; Neocallimastigomycota; Neocallimastigomycetes; Neocallimastigales. The record is from RNAcentral.